Molecule: ribosomal RNA, 1220 nt
Filed under: Bacillus sp. WLJ041
Lineage: Bacteria; Bacillati; Bacillota; Bacilli; Caryophanales; Bacillaceae
Description: bacterial SSU rRNA
Rfam family: Bacterial small subunit ribosomal RNA
Source: RNAcentral
ACACGUGGGUAACCUGCCUGUAAGACUGGGAUAACUCCGGGAAACCGGAGCUAAUACCGGAUAGUUCCUUGAACCGCAUGGUUCAAGGAUGAAAGACGGUUUCGGCUGUCACUUACAGAUGGACCCGCGGCGCAUUAGCUAGUUGGUGGGGUAAUGGCUCACCAAGGCGACGAUGCGUAGCCGACCUGAGAGGGUGAUCGGCCACACUGGGACUGAGACACGGCCCAGACUCCUACGGGAGGCAGCAGUAGGGAAUCUUCCGCAAUGGACGAAAGUCUGACGGAGCAACGCCGCGUGAGUGAUGAAGGUUUUCGGAUCGUAAAGCUCUGUUGUUAGGGAAGAACAAGUGCGAGAGUAACUGCUCGCACCUUGACGGUACCUAACCAGAAAGCCACGGCUAACUACGUGCCAGCAGCCGCGGUAAUACGUAGGUGGCAAGCGUUGUCCGGAAUUAUUGGGCGUAAAGGGCUCGCAGGCGGUUUCUUAAGUCUGAUGUGAAAGCCCCCGGCUCAACCGGGGAGGGUCAUUGGAAACUGGGAAACUUGAGUGCAGAAGAGGAGAGUGGAAUUCCACGUGUAGCGGUGAAAUGCGUAGAGAUGUGGAGGAACACCAGUGGCGAAGGCGACUCUCUGGUCUGUAACUGACGCUGAGGAGCGAAAGCGUGGGGAGCGAACAGGAUUAGAUACCCUGGUAGUCCACGCCGUAAACGAUGAGUGCUAAGUGUUAGGGGGUUUCCGCCCCUUAGUGCUGCAGCUAACGCAUUAAGCACUCCGCCUGGGGAGUACGGUCGCAAGACUGAAACUCAAAGGAAUUGACGGGGGCCCGCACAAGCGGUGGAGCAUGUGGUUUAAUUCGAAGCAACGCGAAGAACCUUACCAGGUCUUGACAUCCUCUGACAACCCUAGAGAUAGGGCUUUCCCUUCGGGGACAGAGUGACAGGUGGUGCAUGGUUGUCGUCAGCUCGUGUCGUGAGAUGUUGGGUUAAGUCCCGCAACGAGCGCAACCCUUGAUCUUAGUUGCCAGCAUUUAGUUGGGCACUCUAAGGUGACUGCCGGUGACAAACCGGAGGAAGGUGGGGAUGACGUCAAAUCAUCAUGCCCCUUAUGACCUGGGCUACACACGUGCUACAAUGGACAGAACAAAGGGCUGCGAGACCGCAAGGUUUAGCCAAUCCCAUAAAUCUGUUCUCAGUUCGGAUCGCAGUCUGCAACUCGACUGCG